RNAcentral lists this transfer RNA (89 nucleotides) under Caudoviricetes sp. Its description in RNAcentral is "tRNA-OTHER". It matches the Rfam family "tRNA". From Rfam's summary of the family: Transfer RNA (tRNA) molecules are approximately 80 nucleotides in length. Lineage: Duplodnaviria; Heunggongvirae; Uroviricota; Caudoviricetes. The record is from RNAcentral.
GGUAAGUUAGCCAAGUGGUAAGGCAAACCGAUGUUGAAAUCCCGUACAGGACAUAGGUUACUCACAAGUUCGAAUCUUGUACUUACCUA